UGCAGGUCGAGCGGCUGACGGGAGCUUGCUCCUUGAUUCAGCGGCGGACGGGUGAGUAAUACCUAAGAAUCUGCCUGAUAGUGGGGGACAACGUUUCGAAAGGAACGCUAAUACCGCAUACGUCCUACGGGAGAAAGCAGGGGACCUUCGGGCCUUGCGCUAUCAGAUGAGCCUAGGUCGGAUUAGCUAGUUGGUGAGGUAAUGGCUCACCAAGGCGACGAUCCGUAACUGGUCUGAGAGGAUGAUCAGUCACACUGGAACUGAGACACGGUCCAGACUCCUACGGGAGGCAGCAGUGGGGAAUAUUGGACAAUGGGCGAAAGCCUGAUCCAGCCAUGCCGCGUGUGUGAAGAAGGUCUUCGGAUUGUAAAGCACUUUAAGUUGGGAGGAAGGGCAGUAAGCUAAUACCUUGCUGUUUUGACGUUACCGACAGAAUAAGCACCGGCUAACUCUGUGCCAGCAGCCGCGGUAAUACAGAGGGUGCAAGCGUUAAUCGGAAUUACUGGGCGUAAAGCGCGCGUAGGUGGUUCGUUAAGUUGGAUGUGAAAUCCCCGGGCUCAACCUGGGAACUGCAUCCAAAACUGGCGAGCUAGAGUAGGGCAGAGGGUGGUGGAAUUUCCUGUGUAGCGGUGAAAAUGCGUAGAUAUAGGAAAGGAACACCAGUGGCGAACGCGACCACCUGGGCUCAUACUGACACUGAGGUGCGAAAGCUUUGGUGAGCAAACAGGAUUAGAUACCCUGGUAGUCCACGCCGUAAAACGAUGUCAACUAGCCGUUGGAAUCCUUGAGAUUUUUAUUGGCGCAGCUAACGCAUUAAGUUGACCGCCUGGGGAGUACGGCCGCAAGGUUAAAACUCAAAUGAAUUGACGGGGGCCCGCACAAGCGGUGGAGCAUGUGGUUUAAUUUGAAGCAACGCGAAGAACCUUACCAGGCCUUGACAUCCAAUGAACUUUCCAGAGAUGGAUUGGUGCCUUCGGGAACAUUGAGACAGGUGCUGCAUGGCUGUUGUCAGCUCGUGUCGUGAGAUGUUGGGUUAAGUCCCGUAACGAGCGCAACCCUUGUCCUUAGUUACCAGCACGUAAUGGUGGGCACUCUAAGGAGACUGCCGGUGACAAACCGGAGGAAGGUGGGGAUGACGUCAAGUCAUCAUGGCCCUUACGGCCUGGGCUACACACGUGCUACAAUGGUCGGUACAGAGGGUUGCCAAGCCGCGAGGUGGAGCUAAUCUCACAAAACCGAUCGUAGUCCGGAUCGCAGUCUGCAACUCGACUGCGUGAAGUUGGAAUCGCUAGUAAUCGCGAAUCAGAAUGUCGCGGUGAAUACGUUCCCGGGCCUUGUACACACCGCCCGUCACACCAUGGGGGUGGGUGCACCUGAAGUAGCU
This 1384-nucleotide ribosomal RNA is filed under the name Pseudomonas putida. RNAcentral's name for it is "16S ribosomal RNA". It matches the Rfam family "Bacterial small subunit ribosomal RNA", at positions 56 to 1431 of the family's 1533-position model. Lineage: Bacteria; Pseudomonadati; Pseudomonadota; Gammaproteobacteria; Pseudomonadales; Pseudomonadaceae. The record is from RNAcentral.